GACGAACGCUGGCGGCGUGCUUAACACAUGCAAGUCGAACGGAAAGGCCCCGCCUUUGUGGGGUGCUCGAGUGGCGAACGGGUGAGUAACACGUGAGUAACCUGCCCUUGACUUUGGGAUAACUCCAGGAAACUGGGGCUAAUACCGGAUAGGAGCACGUGCUGGAUGGCGGGGGUGGGAAAGUUUCGGCGGUUGGGGAUGGACUCGCGGCUUAUCAGCUUGUUGGUGGGGUAGUGGCUUACCAAGGCGUUGACGGGUAGCCGGCCUGAGAGGGUGACCGGCCACAUUGGGACUGAGAUACGGCCCAGACUCCUACGGGAGGCAGCAGUGGGGAAUAUUGCACAAUGGGCGGAAGCCUGAUGCAGCAACGCCGCGUGCGGGAUGACGGCCUUCGGGUUGUAAACCGCUUUCGCCAGUGACGAAGCGUAAGUGACGGUAAUGGGUAAAGAAGCACCGGCUAACUACGUG
This 468-nucleotide ribosomal RNA is filed under the name uncultured bacterium. RNAcentral's name for it is "partial 16S ribosomal RNA". It matches the Rfam family "Bacterial small subunit ribosomal RNA", at positions 28 to 507 of the family's 1533-position model. The record is from RNAcentral.